AUUGAACGCUGGCGGAAUGCUUUACACAUGCAAGUCGAACGGCAGCACGGACUUCGGUCUGGUGGCGAGUGGCGAACGGGUGAGUAAUGUAUCGGAACGUGCCCAGUCGUGGGGGAUAACGUAGUGAAAAUUACGCUAAUACCGCAUACGAUCUAUGGAUGAAAGCGGGGGAUCGCAAGACCUCGCGCGAUUGGAGCGGCCGAUAUCAGAUUAGGUAGUUGGUGGGGUAAAGGCCCACCAAGCCAACGAUCGGUAGCUGGUCUGAGAGGACGACCAGCCACACUGGAACUGAGACACGGUCCAGACUCCUACGGGAGGCUGCAGUGGGGAAUUUUGGACAAUGGGCGAAAGCCUGAUCCAGCCAUUCCGCGUGCAGGAUGAAGGCCCUCGGGUUGUAAACUGCUUUUGUACAGAACGAAAAGGUUUCUACUAAUACUAGGAGCUCAUGACGGUACUGUAAGAAUAAGCACCGGCUAACUACGUGCCAGCCGCCGCAGUAA
This 500-nucleotide ribosomal RNA is filed under the name uncultured bacterium. RNAcentral's name for it is "partial 16S ribosomal RNA". It matches the Rfam family "Bacterial small subunit ribosomal RNA", at positions 30 to 523 of the family's 1533-position model. The record is from RNAcentral.